GCAGGAUAUGGGCCAAACAGAGGCAGGUGGGACUAGUGUGCACGGGGCAUGUUGGUCGGCGUAGGCAAAUUGGACUGAAGGGCCUGUUUCUAUACUGUAUUACUCUAUUAUUGAAUGCCUUGGCUUUAGGCAGCAAGCAUCUCUUGCGUUUUGUUCACCACAUUACCUAUUCAUACUGCUUCCUUUAGGGAUCAAAGAACUGAACACAUUCCCUCCUUAAUACUCCCAUGGGUUUUACAAUCCAUAGUGUGGGUCCUAUCUUUUUUGAACCACCCAAAAUACAUCACCUCAUACUCAUCGAGAUUGGAUUCCAUCUGCUGAAGUCCUGCCUCACCCAUCAACACCUCUUGCCACAGGUUGCAAUUCUUGAAUAAAGGUACCACAUUUGCACCCUACCAAUCCCGUGAAGAUUAAAACAUCUUGUUUACCCCGUCGCUCCCCUCCCAUCCUCUUCCACUUACAACCGUACUUGUGGCUUUGCAUUUCACUCUUCUUUCUGUAUUUAACAUCCUAAUGUCUCUUUUUGUUAGCUUUUGGCUCCUUUUCAUCUCUAACCUUUGUUCACCAUCUACCAAUCAAAAUACACCCCACCUGCAUCCACUUGCCAAGCUUUGUCCCAUCAUCCCCCCCCCACCUCAAUCAAUCUGAAGAAGGGUCCCAACCUGAAAUGUCAUUCUAAAAUGACCUGAGAGAUGCUGCCUGACAUGCUGAGUUACGCCUGUGGUUUUGUGUGCUUCGUAAGAUUCAAGCAUUUGCAGUUCCUUGUGUCCAUUAAAAAAUAUCUGGGGCCCCAACAAACUCUUUAUUUGCCUCUCAUAGCAGAUGACUACAUCCCCUCAUUUUCUGGGGAUUUAUCCACAUUUAUGCUCACUAAAACAUCUGAUACAACCACCUUUCUAAUGUUAACCUGCUCUCCCCUUCCCUGAAAUCAACUACAAUGUCUUUCUUUUUAAUGAGUACCAAAAAAAACAUUUUUUGCUUACCAGGGGAAUUUUGUGGCCCUUCUUUGCCCUCCUUAUUACCCCUACACUUACUGUACUCGCCUAUUUUCAGAUCUCCAUAUCUGCUGUAUGCUUCCAUUAUUUCUUUAUCAAACCCUCUGUUUUACUUGACAUCCUUGGAUUUGCCUUUUUUUUUUUUAACACUUUUCACCCCACCUCCCUGCAGGUAUGUUAGUCCUGUUUAGUUUCAGGUGGAAUCCGUUCAGCUUGUAUAGGUUCAACAUUCCCCAGAAAUGGUCGCAAUGAUCCAAAAAUCUAAAGCCCUCUAUCCUACAUACCUUUGGUCAUGCAUUUAUUGGACUUGUCCUCCUAUUCCUAAUAGCACUGGCAUAUGGUACCAGAACUAAUUCAGAGAUUACAACCUUAGAGGUUAAUCUGCUUCCCAAUUUCCUAAAUUUAUGUUGCAAGACCUCCUUCCUUUACCUAUAUCAUUGGUACCAAAAUAUACCGCAACCACGGCUGCUCACCCUCUGCCUUCAGAAUGUCCUGCUGCUGCUCUUAGACAUCUUGAUCCUGGUAUCAGGGAGGCAACAUACCAUUCAAAAAGCUUGCUUGCAGUCACAGAAAUGGCAUCUCCUUGCAAUCAUUAUAACGGUAUAAACCAGCAUCUGCAGUUCCUCCCUGCACUCAACACAAUGUCUUCAGCUCCAUUCUGAGUCCAUCCACAGCUGGGCAAUAAGAUCAGUCAGGAGCUGCAGACGGACACAUUCUCAGAACAUAAGGUCAGCAGGGACAAUGGGAAUCCCUGAUUUCCCCACAUAUGUCAAGAGGGACAUUCUACAGCACCAAACCCUCCUGCCCUGAACUGAAGUGACCCCUUUGAGUAGUUUAAUGUCACAUGCACCGAGGUACAGUGAAAAGCUUUUGUUGCAUGCUAACCAGUCGGCAGAAAGAUAAUACAUGAUUAAAAUCGAGCCAUCCAGUAUACAGGUACACGAUGAUGGUAAUAAUGUUUAGUGCAAGAUAAAGUUCAGUAAAGCCUGAUUAAAGAUCCAAUGUGGUAGAUAGUAGCUCAGGACUGGUCUCUAGUUGUUGGAAGGUAGGUUCACUUGCCUGAUAACAGCUGGGAAGAAACUGUCCCAGCUGGGGGGAAACAUUCAUUUUAGUGUACUGGUCAUGCUUAUUCCCAUCUAAACACUACCAACUACAAUUUAAAGUCCCUACCCUACUUUUAUUUCAGUAAAUGAAACACAGAAAAGUAUAAAUUUCCACUCUGCUGCCUCUGGUCUCCCUCAGGUGGAUAUGGUCUUGUUAUGGUCUCGAUAUGGUCUCGUUAUGCGCUGAUUUCUCUCUGAUCCUCUUCUCUCGCUGCUACCACUCACUGUCUAGUUUAAUGGAAUAGCACAUUACUUGAGAUAGAAUGUUCACUCCCUCCUUUAUCAAGAUUAUAGAGGUUCCAGUGAUGUUGUUGUACCCAUAUCUGUUUGCAUGCAAGGUUGAUGUAAACUGAGCCACCAGUCAGAGAUCAGAAGCUGCAGUGUGUGACUUAUCACUGACUGCAUUCAAUUGGUACUGUAGCCUUUUGAAUGAUUUUUACAUUUUGAAUGUUUCAAGAGCAAUGACAAGAACGUCCAUUUUCCAUAAACACUUUUUUUUUUUAAACCCUCUGCUGUUAGUGAAAUUUCAGGUCCAAGAACACAGAGGUGCUAUCAUUUAUGUGACAUCCAGCCUCCAUGACCAGAAACAGCCUUUAUCAGAUCUCAUUGACUGAUUCAAGUUUUUGAGCAGGACACAAUUCCAAUCAAACUUUCACUUUGGCAUGUCUGUAAAGUACGAACUAUUUCUCAGUGAUGAAGAAGAAUCGAUAUAAAUGUAUGAUUUGGCUUACCCUUUCCAUUUUUGUUGCGUCACUGUGAUGUUGGCCACUGGUAAGUCGGGUGUAAGCUUCAGUCAACUAGAGUUAGAGGGUGACGAACAAGUGGAGAUGUAAUUCAUCGCAAUGGUCUGUACUUCAAAUAAUGUGGUCACUUUAUUUUAUUGUUGAUUGAAAUAUUUUACAGGUAUUUGAUACAGUAAAUCUGGAACAUAUGUUGUCUCCGUUAUCAGUGUGAACACAGGAGUUUGGAAAAAAAUUGAUAGGAAGGCUAAGACGCAAUAUAUGGAUGUUAAAAAUAUAAAUGUUCAGUUUCAAAAUGGUUUAACAUGUUCGUGGUGGUUCAGUAAAUUGGUGUCUGACGCUACCACUUGCAUUUGGUAGCUUUCGUUGGUAAUGGUGAGAUUUUAUCAAAUUUAUAGGUUGUUAGAUUUUAUUUCGACCACAUGAUAGAAUGCACUAUUAUUACAAGGAGGGAAAAUCCCAAAAUAAGAUGGCUAGUCUCAUUCCAUGGAGAUACUCCUUAUUAGGCUGUUGUAUUGAUCUCUGAGAUUACUGGUGCUAAACACCUCCUCAGCCUUCUGCAUGAAAAAGAAAGCUGAAUACGUACAACAGCCACAGGCAUUAAAAUGGGGAACAGUAAUAUAAACACAUGUACUUAAGUGCUAUUAUCCACUGGUUUCUGGGUACUGAAGCAGCCUGCUUUUGGAAUGUACCAUGAUCAGAUCAUACAUAUUUACGGGGAUGUACCAUGAUCAGACCAUACAUAUUCACGUAUAACAUAUGCAAACAUUUUAUCUGAAUUAUCACUGACACUGAUUGUUUGCCGGCAAUGAAGAGUUUUAUAGGUUCAAAAAACUCUGGAAGUCUGCAGUGACUUUCCUAAAAGACUGGAACUAUCAUCUAUGGAUCUGUAUCUUCACCUGUACCCACCUAUCGCUUGCCUGACUUUAUCUUGCCCCUGCCUCUCUUCCAGCUUCCUCCAUCCAUUACAAUCAGCCUGAAGAAGGGUCCCAACCAUAAAUUGUGUCUAUCCAUUUCCUCCAGAGAUGCUUUCUAACCCACUAAGUUACUCCAUUAAAGUCUGUAAAGUCAAAAAUUGCUCAUUUCGAACAGAUUUAAAAUUUUCUACAUUCAUGUUUGCUUUAACGCAAACUGAUCAGAAUGUGUCCUGUUGGAACAUUAUGUAAGAUUUUAGUAAAUUAUGAUGUAGUCUACUAAGCCAAUACACUUCAUUAAUCAAUGACUAAUCUAAAAACAUCACUAAUCCUUCGAGCACUCCACUGACAACCUAGCAUAUUUUAUUCAAGUCUCGGCUGACAAUAAAAUGGCUUAAAACAAAUCCAAAUAUUCCAUCUAUAUUGGAAUAUAUAAUCUAUAUUUUUAUCUCAAUUUUUCUUUCUUUUUCUAGAUUGGAUGGCUUAAAUUUGAUUUUAAAAAGUCACCUUUCACACUUUGACUUUAGCUCAGAACUGUACAUAUUUGGCAGAAUGAAAUUUUCACAUGUAUUCCAUUUAAGGUGAAAAACAAUAACAAAUAUAAUGUAAAAGAAUGUUCUACACAAGAUGUAGACAGCUAUGGUACGGCUGGAGGUAAUGUUGAAAGAGGAUGCCAUGAAGCAUUUUGAGUAUAUUCUGCCAGUCAGUGAGAUCUAUAUUUGACAUGUGCCCUAUCUACACAUACUUGUAUUGUCUCAUGUCUUUUAAUUGCUUUGGUUAGCAAAUAUCUAUCAAUCCCAGACUUAAAAUGAACUGAUCUAGGAAUGACUACAUUUGCAGUAAUUCACUGUGU
This is a long non-coding RNA of Amblyraja radiata (thorny skate), 4605 nucleotides long. RefSeq lists it as uncharacterized. The record is from RefSeq and is a predicted model, not a curated record. The transcript is spliced from 3 exons. Lineage: Eukaryota; Metazoa; Chordata; Chondrichthyes; Rajiformes; Rajidae.